This 2435-nucleotide ribosomal RNA is filed under the name Shigella boydii. RNAcentral's name for it is "partial 23S ribosomal RNA". It matches the Rfam family "Bacterial large subunit ribosomal RNA", at positions 427 to 2843 of the family's 2925-position model. Lineage: Bacteria; Pseudomonadati; Pseudomonadota; Gammaproteobacteria; Enterobacterales; Enterobacteriaceae. The record is from RNAcentral.
UGGUAUCCUGUCUGAAUAUGGGGGGACCAUCCUCCAAGGCUAAAUACUCCUGACUGACCGAUAGUGAACCAGUACCGUGAGGGAAAGGCGAAAAGAACCCCGGCGAGGGGAGUGAAAAAGAACCUGAAACCGUGUACGUACAAGCAGUGGGAGCACGCUUAGGCGUGUGACUGCGUACCUUUUGUAUAAUGGGUCAGCGACUUAUAUUCUGUAGCAAGGUUAACCGAAUAGGGGAGCCGAAGGGAAACCGAGUCUUAACUGGGCGUUAAGUUGCAGGGUAUAGACCCGAAACCCGGUGAUCUAGCCAUGGGCAGGUUGAAGGUUGGGUAACACUAACUGGAGGACCGAACCGACUAAUGUUGAAAAAUUAGCGGAUGACUUGUGGCUGGGGGUGAAAGGCCAAUCAAACCGGGAGAUAGCUGGUUCUCCCCGAAAGCUAUUUAGGUAGCGCCUCGUGAAUUCAUCUCCGGGGGUAGAGCACUGUUUCGGCAAGGGGGUCAUCCCGACUUACCAACCCGAUGCAAACUGCGAAUACCGGAGAAUGUUAUCACGGGAGACACACGGCGGGUGCUAACGUCCGUCGUGAAGAGGGAAACAACCCAGACCGCCAGCUAAGGUCCCAAAGUCAUGGUUAAGUGGGAAACGAUGUGGGAAGGCCCAGACAGCCAGGAUGUUGGCUUAGAAGCAGCCAUCAUUUAAAGAAAGCGUAAUAGCUCACUGGUCGAGUCGGCCUGCGCGGAAGAUGUAACGGGGCUAAACCAUGCACCGAAGCUGCGGCAGCGACACUAUGUGUUGUUGGGUAGGGGAGCGUUCUGUAAGCCUGUGAAGGUGUACUGUGAGGUAUGCUGGAGGUAUCAGAAGUGCGAAUGCUGACAUAAGUAACGAUAAAGCGGGUGAAAAGCCCGCUCGCCGGAAGACCAAGGGUUCCUGUCCAACGUUAAUCGGGGCAGGGUGAGUCGACCCCUAAGGCGAGGCCGAAAGGCGUAGUCGAUGGGAAACAGGUUAAUAUUCCUGUACUUGGUGUUACUGCGAAGGGGGGACGGAGAAGGCUAUGUUGGCCGGGCGACGGUUGUCCCGGUUUAAGCGUGUAGGCUGGUUUUCCAGGCAAAUCCGGAAAACUAAGGCUGAGGCGUGAUGACGAGGCACUACGGUGCUGAAGCAACAAAUGCCCUGCUUCCAGGAAAAGCCUCUAAGCAUCAGGUAACAUCAAAUCGUACCCCAAACCGACACAGGUGGUCAGGUAGAGAAUACCAAGGCGCUUGAGAGAACUCGGGUGAAGGAACUAGGCAAAAUGGUGCCGUAACUUCGGGAGAAGGCACGCUGAUAUGUAGGUGAAGUCCCUCGCGGAUGGAGCUGAAAUCAGUCGAAGAUACCAGCUGGCUGCAACUGUUUAUUAAAAACACAGCACUGUGCAAACACGAAAGUGGACGUAUACGGUGUGACGCCUGCCCGGUGCCGGAAGGUUAAUUGAUGGGGUCAGCGCAAGCGAAGCUCUUGAUCGAAGCCCCGGUAAACGGCGGCCGUAACUAUAACGGUCCUAAGGUAGCGAAAUUCCUUGUCGGGUAAGUUCCGACCUGCACGAAUGGCGUAAUGAUGGCCAGGCUGUCUCCACCCGAGACUCAGUGAAAUUGAACUCGCUGUGAAGAUGCAGUGUACCCGCGGCAAGACGGAAAGACCCCGUGAACCUUUACUAUAGCUUGACACUGAACAUUGAGCCUUGAUGUGUAGGAUAGGUGGGAGGCUUUGAAGUGUGGACGCCAGUCUGCAUGGAGCCGACCUUGAAAUACCACCCUUUAAUGUUUGAUGUUCUAACGUUGACCCGUAAUCCGGGUUGCGGACAGUGUCUGGUGGGUAGUUUGACUGGGGCGGUCUCCUCCUAAAGAGUAACGGAGGAGCACGAAGGUUGGCUAAUCCUGGUCGGACAUCAGGAGGUUAGUGCAAUGGCAUAAGCCAGCUUGACUGCGAGCGUGACGGCGCGAGCAGGUGCGAAAGCAGGUCAUAGUGAUCCGGUGGUUCUGAAUGGAAGGGCCAUCGCUCAACGGAUAAAAGGUACUCCGGGGAUAACAGGCUGAUACCGCCCAAGAGUUCAUAUCGACGGCGGUGUUUGGCACCUCGAUGUCGGCUCAUCACAUCCUGGGGCUGAAGUAGGUCCCAAGGGUAUGGCUGUUCGCCAUUUAAAGUGGUACGCGAGCUGGGUUUAGAACGUCGUGAGACAGUUCGGUCCCUAUCUGCCGUGGGCGCUGGAGAACUGAGGGGGGCUGCUCCUAGUACGAGAGGACCGGAGUGGACGCAUCACUGGUGUUCGGGUUGUCAUGCCAAUGGCACUGCCCGGUAGCUAAAUGCGGAAGAGAUAAGUGCUGAAAGCAUCUAAGCACGAAACUUGCCCCGAGAUGAGUUCUCCCUGACUCCUUGAGAGUCCUGAAGGAACGUUGAAG